CGACGAUCAGUAGCCGGUCUGAGAGGAUGAACGGCCACACUGGAACUGAGACACGGUCCAGACUCCUACGGGAGGCAGCAGUGGGGAAUCUUCCGCAAUGGACGAAAGUCUGACGGAGCAACGCCGCGUGAACGAAGAAGGUCUUCGGAUUGUAAAGUUCUGUGAUUCGGGACGAAAGGGUAAAUAGUGAAUAACUAUAGACAUUGACGGUACCGAAAAAGCAAGCCACGGCUAACUACGUGCCAGCAGCCGCGGUAAUACGUAGGUGGCAAGCGUUGUCCGGAAUUAUUGGGCGUAAAGCGCGCGCAGGCGGCUUCUUAAGUCCAUCUUAAAAGCGUGGGGCUCAACCCCAUGAGGGGAUGGAAACUGGGAAGCUGGAGUAUCGGAGAGGAAAGUGGAAUUCCUAGUGUAGCGGUGAAAUGCGUAGAGAUUAGGAAGAACACCGGUGGCGAAGGCGACUUUCUAGA
This 467-nucleotide ribosomal RNA is filed under the name uncultured Peptococcaceae bacterium. RNAcentral describes it as "bacterial SSU rRNA". It matches the Rfam family "Bacterial small subunit ribosomal RNA", at positions 274 to 733 of the family's 1533-position model. The record is from RNAcentral. Lineage: Bacteria; Bacillati; Bacillota; Clostridia; Eubacteriales; Peptococcaceae.